CCAGUUGAGUAGAUAUUUCAUCCGAUUGGUAGUCUCAGGAACUUAUUUGGAUGUCUCUCUGCAUGGAGGUUGGAGUCCCCAAACUUCCAAUUCCUCUCUCCUCUUUUCCUUCUCCUUUGCAUACCUUGCAUAUCCUCUAUCUUCCCUUUGUCUUAACUUUUAAAGGGCCAGACUCUCUGUAUGUCAUCAGUUGAUAACCCAAUAGAAGCACUAGAGGUGUGGUUAUCUUCCAGAUCGCAAUUUAGUUAUUUGGUCUAUAGAGGGCAGUCUUGUCCCACUAAACAUACCUAUCCAGGAAAGAGUUAACUUUUCCUGGUGGCUAUUUUGACGUCAUUUUGGCCUAUCUAGAUAGUGGCCAUAACUUACGUAUCCUUCACAGAUCAAAAGGGUUUCUUUAAGUUUUGUCCAGACUAUGUGUCUGGCAAAUCCUGCUAUAAUUUCUAAAAUGGCAGAUCAUGAACUAAGUUUAACCUUAAACUUACAAUGGUACCUUAUAUAUAUAUAUAUA
Molecule: non-coding RNA, 508 nt
Organism: Pelobates cultripes (western spadefoot toad)
Lineage: Eukaryota; Metazoa; Chordata; Amphibia; Anura; Pelobatidae
Source: the annotation of a GenBank genome assembly